UUAAGUUAGAAAGGGCGCACGGUGGAUGCCUUGACACUAGGAGUCGAUGAAGGACGGGACUAACGCCGAUAUGCUUCGGGGAGCUGUAAGUAAGCUUUGAUCCGAAGAUUUCCGAAUGGGGAAACCCACCAUACGUAAUGGUAUGGUAUCCUUAUCUGAAUACAUAGGAUAAGGAAGACAGACCCAGGGAACUGAAACAUCUAAGUACCUGGAGGAAGAGAAAGCAAAUGCGAUUUCCUGAGUAGCGGCGAGCGAAACGGAACAUAGCCCAAACCAAGAGGCUUGCCUCUUGGGGUUGUAGGACAUUCUAUACGGAGUUACAAAGGAACGAGGUAGACGAAGCGACCUGGAAAGGUCCGUCGUAGAGGGUAACAACCCCGUAGUCGAAACUUCGUUCUCUCUUGAAUGUAUCCUGAGUACGGCGGAACACGUGAAAUUCCGUCGGAAUCUGGGAGAACCAUCUCCCAAGGCUAAAUACUCCCUAGUGAUCGAUAGUGAACCAGUACCGUGAGGGAAAGGUGAAAAGCACCCCGGAAGGGGAGUGAAAGAGAUCCUGAAACCGUGUGCCUACAAAUAGUCAGAGCCCGUUAACGGGUGAUGGCGUGCCUUUUGUAGAAUGAACCGGCGAGUUACGAUCCCGUGCGAGGUUAAGCUGAAGAGGCGGAGCCGCAGCGAAAGCGAGUCUGAAUAGGGCGUUUAGUACGUGGUCGUAGACCCGAAACCAGGUGAUCUACCCAUGUCCAGGGUGAAGUUCAGGUAACACUGAAUGGAGGCCCGAACCCACGCACGUUGAAAAGUGCGGGGAUGAGGUGUGGGUAGCGGAGAAAUUCCAAUCGAACCUGGAGAUAGCUGGUUCUCCCCGAAAUAGCUUUAGGGCUAGCCUUAAGUGUAAGAGUCUUGGAGGUAGAGCACUGAUUGGACUAGGGGUCCUCAUCGGAUUACCGAAUUCAGUCAAACUCCGAAUGCCAAUGACUUAUCCUUAGGAGUCAGACUGCGAGUGAUAAGAUCCGUAGUCAAAAGGGAAACAGCCCAGACCGCCAGCUAAGGUCCCAAAGUGUGUAUUAAGUGGAAAAGGAUGUGGAGUUGCUUAGACAACUAGGAUGUUGGCUUAGAAGCAGCCACCAUUUAAAGAGUGCGUAAUAGCUCACUAGUCGAGUGACUCUGCGCCGAAAAUGUACCGGGGCUAAAUACACCACCGAAGCUGCGGAUUGAUACCAAUGGUAUCAGUGGUAGGGGAGCGUUCUAAGGACAGUGAAGUCAGACCGGAAGGACUGGUGGAGUGCUUAGAAGUGAGAAUGCCGGUAUGAGUAGCGAAAGACGGGUGAGAAUCCCGUCCACCGAAUGCCUAAGGUUUCCUGAGGAAGGCUCGUCCGCUCAGGGUUAGUCAGGACCUAAGCCGAGGCCGACAGGCGUAGGCGAUGGACAACAGGUUGAUAUUCCUGUAACACCUCUUUAUCGUUUGAGCAAUGGAGGGACGCAAAAGGAUAGAAGAAGCGUGCGAUUGGUUGUGCACGUCCAAGCAGUUAGGCUGAUAAGUAGGCAAAUCCGCUUAUCGUGAAGGCUGAGCUGUGAUGGGGAAGCUCCUUAUGGAGCGAAGUCUUUGAUUCCCCGCUGCCAAGAAAAGCUUCUAGCGAGAUAAAAGGUGCCUGUACCGCAAACCGACACAGGUAGGCGAGGAGAGAAUCCUAAGGUGUGCGAGAGAACUCUGGUUAAGGAACUCGGCAAAAUGACCCCGUAACUUCGGGAGAAGGGGUGCUUUCUUAACGGAAAGCCGCAGUGAAUAGGCCCAAGCGACUGUUUAGCAAAAACACAGCUCUCUGCGAAGCCGUAAGGCGAAGUAUAGGGGGUGACACCUGCCCGGUGCUGGAAGGUUAAGGAGAGGGGUUAGCGUAAGCGAAGCUCUGAACUGAAGCCCCAGUAAACGGCGGCCGUAACUAUAACGGUCCUAAGGUAGCGAAAUUCCUUGUCGGGUAAGUUCCGACCCGCACGAAAGGUGUAACGAUUUGGGCACUGUCUCAACCAGAGACUCGGUGAAAUUAUAGUACCUGUGAAGAUGCAGGUUACCCGCGACAGGACGGAAAGACCCCGUGGAGCUUUACUGUAGCCUGAUAUUGAAUUUUGGUACAGUUUGUACAGGAUAGGCGGGAGCCUUUGAAACCGGAGCGCUAGCUUCGGUGGAGGCGCUGGUGGGAUACCGCCCUGACUGUAUUGAAAUUCUAACCUACGGGUCUUAUCGACCCGGGAGACAGUGUCAGGUGGGCAGUUUGACUGGGGCGGUCGCCUCCUAAAGUGUAACGGAGGCGCCCAAAGGUUCCCUCAGAAUGGUUGGAAAUCAUUCGUAGAGUGCAAAGGCAUAAGGGAGCUUGACUGCGAGACCUACAAGUCGAGCAGGGACGAAAGUCGGGCUUAGUGAUCCGGUGGUUCCGCAUGGAAGGGCCAUCGCUCAACGGAUAAAAGCUACCCCGGGGAUAACAGGCUUAUCUCCCCCAAGAGUCCACAUCGACGGGGAGGUUUGGCACCUCGAUGUCGGCUCAUCGCAUCCUGGGGCUGUAGUCGGUCCCAAGGGUUGGGCUGUUCGCCCAUUAAAGCGGUACGCGAGCUGGGUUCAGAACGUCGUGAGACAGUUCGGUCCCUAUCCGUCGUGGGCGUAGGAAAUUUGAGAGGAGCUGUCCUUAGUACGAGAGGACCGGGAUGGACGCACCGCUGGUGUACCAGUUGUUCUGCCAAGGGCAUAGCUGGGUAGCUAUGUGCGGAAGGGAUAAGUGCUGAAAGCAUCUAAGCAUGAAGCCCCCCUCAAGAUGAGAUUUCCCAUAGCGUAAGCUAGUAAGAUCCCUGAAAGAUGAUCAGGUUGAUAGGUUCGAGGUGGAAGCAUGGUGACAUGUGGAGCUGACGAAUACUAAUAGAUCGAGGACUUAACCAU
Molecule: ribosomal RNA, 2920 nt
Filed under: Bacillus anthracis str. CNEVA-9066
Lineage: Bacteria; Bacillati; Bacillota; Bacilli; Caryophanales; Bacillaceae
Description: bacterial LSU rRNA
Rfam family: Bacterial large subunit ribosomal RNA
Source: RNAcentral